RNAcentral lists this long non-coding RNA (8139 nucleotides) under Homo sapiens (human). RNAcentral's name for it is "non-protein coding lnc-RALGAPA2-2:3". Lineage: Eukaryota; Metazoa; Chordata; Mammalia; Primates; Hominidae. The record is from RNAcentral.
AAUCAAGUAGCCGGCUUGCCUUGCGGAGGAUCCUGCUUCCCCCUCCUCCACCCCAUUUUUUUCCUUUCACCCAGUAAAACCCUGUUUAACUCACCCUUCAAACCGUCUGCGAGGCUACGUUUUCGUGGCCACGGGACGGACAAGGACCCCAUCUUUAGCUGAACUACGGAAAAGCCCUGCAACACCACCAUCUCAUCGCUGACUUGGAAAUAAGCUAGCAGUGGCUGUGUCAGCAAGACCACCACAUGCAGCAAGGGUGGCCACUUCCAGCUAGCUCCUGCAUCCACAGCUGCCUCGCCCCUAUUGGCUACUGCCAUCCAUGUAACAGACUCUUGGGAAAUAUGCUCGGCUGAAAAACUGCAUUUCCCAACUCAAGACCUAAGAGGUGGUCAGGAGAUACAAGCAGGAGUCCUUGGAUGAGAAAAUCACAAAAUUGGGACAAAACCAGGAGAGAGUUGAAGACAAUGGGGGAAGGGGGAGAAAAGCUCCCCAGUGAAUUCAGCUGCCCUUUCUGUACCACUCUAUGUACUUUGAUUUUAUGUCCUUCUGGAAAAAUUAAAUUGGAACUCCCUUUAUCACUUCUUCAUUUCAUUUUUUUUCCGUUGUAAAAAGGGCAAGAGCUUAAUGUGCCACAGAGUAAAGCUGCAGGGGCAGCUGGGCACACAUGGGCAGAUGCCCGAGGCUCUGGGCAGCUGGCUGGGUCUUCCACUCAGUUUCCAAAGUACGCAGUCGUGGCAGCAGCUGGAACCUGGCAGGCAGGUGACAGGAAGACAAGCUAAGGGGGUGCAUAUGGCAUUUCUGUCGGGUUUAAUGUUUUAACAAGUCAGAGGAAUACUUAAAUAUCAAAACGAAGUAUCCCUGCAGUAAAUAUUUAUCCUUUAACCAUAAAAAUAUCCUUUUAUACCCUUUGAGAAUUGAGAGGAGAGGAGAGGAGAGGAGAGGAGGGGAGGGGAGGGGAGGGGAGGGGAGAAGAAUGGAGAGGAGGGGAGGGGAUAGAAGAGGGGAGGGGAGGGGAGUGGAGGGGAGGAAAGGGGAGAGGAGGGGAGGGGAGUGGAGGGGAGGAAAGGGGAGAGGAGGGGAGGGGAGUGGAGGGGAGGAAAGGGGAGAGGAGGGAAGGGGAGAGGAAUGGAGAGGAGAGGAGGGGAGGGGAGGGGAGGGGAGGGGAGGGGAGGAGAGAGAUUCUUCAGAGGUUGAUCCAAGCUACUGAAAGGGUUGUUCAUUCACUGGCAGCACUGGCCUCACCCGGGAGCUUGUUAGAAAUGUAACAUCUUCCUGUUCCCCUAAGUGGCCUGACAAUCUGUGGAAAUGUGAACUCAGGCAAAUCGAGAGGUUCAAAUCUUCGUGUUCAUUGAAGAACACCUGUGAAACUGCUCAGGCCGUCAGGGUAUGCAUAUAUCAAGAGCCACCCAGUAUCUGAAAGAUGUCACUUGACAGAGACAGUGUGUACCAUUCUGACGUUACAAAGGUGGAGUUGGUAGGUGCGUCCAGGCCAAACAGUGGGACUGGACACAGGGUCAGUGGCCCAAAAAGAGUGCUGAAUGUUUGCUGCACAUGCUUAAAAAUGCAGAGUCAUGCUGAACGUAAGGGUUUACAUGUAGAUUCUCUGGUCAUUGAGCAUAGCCAGGUGAACAAAGUACCCAAGAUGUGUGGCCAGACUCACAGAGCUCAGGGUCAGGUUAACCCAUGUGUGAGCUCUGCCUGCCACAGUGAGAUGAGCCUUAUUGAAAAGGAACAAAUUGUUCCUAAACCAGAAGAGGCUGCGCAGAAGAAAAAGAUAGCCCAGAAGAAACUGAAGAAAUGGAAACUUACGGCACAGGAAUAGACUCAUCCAACAAUAAAUGGAAUUAAAAGUACAGGAAGGAAGGAAGGAAAGAAAGAAGGAAGGAAGGAAGGACAGAAAGAAGGAAGGAAGAAAGGACGGAAGGAAGGAAGGAAAAAAGAAGGAAGGAAGAAAAGGAAAGAAAAGAAAAGAAAAGAAAAUGUAGCAUCUCAGGCUCCCCAUCCCAUGGCCUCCUGCUCCUAAUCUGCAUUUUAACAAGAAGCUCAGGGGAUUCAUGUGCACAGCAGUUUGAGAGGUGCUAUUCUAAGGUAUAGAUGAGGAAUUCUUAGUCAAGAAAGUGCAAGCUUGUGGUUCUCAGCUUUAGCUUAGAAGCAUGUGGGGCACCUGAAAAAUACUGAUGACUGGGUCCCACCCUAGAAUAAUUAAAACAACCUCUGGGGGCGGAGCCUAGGCAUGGAUGUGUUUUCAAAGCACCCAGGUCAUCUCAAUGUGCGGCCAAGGCAGAAAAUAUAGGGUAAGUGAUGCUUAGAGCUGCUGAGCACAUUCUGUGGCAACACCCAGGUGGAGACCCUGUCUCCUUCAUGCGCUGCCUCCUCUGCGCUUGGCGACGUGAAGGAAAACUGUCAUACACAGGCUCGCAUCGAAUCCCACAACUAUUCACAAGAUGGUCUAAGUGGGGUGUCUAAUCUUUUGGCUUCCCUGAGCCACACUGAAACAAGAAGAAUCAUCUUGGACCACACAUAAAAUAUACAAACACUAAAGAUAGCUGAUAAGCUGAAGAAAAAAAACUGCAAAAAAAAAAGUCAUAAUGUUUUAAGAAAGUUUACAAAUUUGUGUUGAGCCACAUUCAAAGCCACCUUGGGCCCAUGGGCCAUGGGUUUCACAAACUUGGUCUAAGACUUCAUCCUUGAGUUAGAGUAAGCCUCUUGUCACUGGAGAAAUACCUUACUGCUGUAAACUACAUGAAACACUCAUGCAUAUUACAAAGUGGAAUAUUAAAAUCUGCUGCCCUAAGACAUUGAACAGCUUCAGUGUUAUCCAGCAAUGCUUUACUCAAAUGUGGAUGGAGAGUUUAACUAAAAGGAAAGCAUGGACACUGGGAAACCAAUCAAUCAGAUUUCCUAUUUUCAUAACUGAGAGACAAAAUAAAAUAAGGGUCGACAGAAGGUGCACGUGUUUGCAAUACUUUUGCGAGAGCCCAUUGCCACAGCCAAAUGUUAGCCUCUUGAGGCAUAAAUUAAUUUACCACAAAUGCAUGCCUGGUUGCGUCUGGAUUCUGCUAGGGCGAGCAGUAUGUGUUAGACUUUUGGACAACAGCUUAAAGAAUGACAUUUCUCCAACUUGCUGUGAUUUUUAUCCUCGAGCAGAAUGUUUUUCUUGGAAUGGGUUUCUGGGAGGGUUUGCGGACAUAAUUCUGGUUAUGUGUGCGGGCCCUGAAGGGUGCUUUUAUGAAUUUAGAGCAGCAGCUGUCCAGGCAGAGGGAUGCUCUUUACCCAGAGUGUGUGUGCCCCAGUAAACAUAUGAAUGGCUUUCAUGGAGCUCUCCAGACACGUGGCUUGCGCCCCCUGUGCCCGGCCUUACCUGGUACUGCUGCCCGGUGCAGAGGAUGAGGUGGUCGUAGGGCACGAUCUCGUCCGUGGAAAGCACAACGUGCUUGGCUGCUCGGUCUAUGCCGGUCAUUCUACCCACCACGACAUUAACCCAGGAGCACAGUGACAUCAGUGCAUAAUCUUUAUCAUUAAAACAGUGGCUGCAAAGAGAGAAGCUCCGUAAGUGACAUCUGAGCAGCUGACAGCGGGCAUUAAUUAGACAUCUGGUGAGCUGGUUCAAGUCCCCUAGUGGGCUGAGUCCGUGCUCUUGCUGUGAGUUUACCAGGACUGAUACUAGGAGAUUUUUCGUUAUGAAACACUUAGUUACAAAUUGACAUCUUCCCAUUAAAGCUAAAUUGUUCCACCUGGCUUAGGUCAGCCCACAACUGGGAGGGUGGGAGGGGUGUGUGUGUGUGUGUGUGUUUAUCUGUAUGUGUGUGUGUGUGAAAUCACUCAUACUAUACCUUUCUUCUGCUUCUACUUCAGAGUGGUUGUAAAUUUACUUUAGCUGUUAAAUUGGUGUAUUGACCACAGCCUCAAUGGGAAUGAGAAGGAAGAAAGUGACAUUGUUGAGGAUUCCCAAAGCCAGGGGUCAGAAUCUUUGAAUACCGAGAACCCUUCCUAUUCGCUAAUACUUUUCAGUAAUCACUCAUUCUGAGAAUUAGCGUAUGGCUUCCUGCCAAAACAACAAAACCCAUUUUACUUCAAGAAUAUAGCAAUUAGGGAGUUAGGUUCGCAGCAAGUACACUCCCUGGAGACUUUGGGAUUCACCCUUCAGGGCAGAGGUGAUUUUCUAGGAACGGAGACUUCGACCGCCAGCAGGCCCAGGGCGGCCAUUCAUGCCAUGGCUUCAGCGUGCUGUGGCUGCACUGGCUUCCAUUUUCUGGGCUCUCUUGGAGUUUGAGCGCUUUCACGUAGUAUGAUAAGAGUGGGUUUCUUGUGGCUUUGGGUUUAUUUAAACAGUUUUGUGAGGGUUGUUUCCAGAAUUUUCUGAAAGGAUUGACCUCAGGUAAACCACCUUUUAGUGAUUCUGUUCUGAAUACUGAGAGUCUAAGGUAAUAGGACAUUAAGUGCUUCUUUUAAUUUAGGCUGUAUGAUUCUUUUCUUCCUUUUUUCUCUUAACAUAAAAACACUAACAUUUUUAUUUAUUCAUCUAUUUAUUAUUUAUUUUUAGAAACAGGAUCUCACUAUGUUGCCCAAGCUGGUCUCAAACUCCUGAGCUCAAGUGAUCCUCCUGCCUCAGCCUCCUGAGUAGCUGGGACUGGAGGCACGCGCCACUUCUAUGCUUGGCAGCACAGUCCUCUUCAAAAAGAACCCUGCCAUGGUCUGUGCUGCUGACAAGCCUGGACUCUGCAUCCUCCUGCUGUCUUCAGUUUCCUCACCUCUUAACACAGGGUGGAACUGAAGCAAGUAAUUUGCGAAGACCAUUGAUAUAGUUUGGCUCUGUGUCCCCACUCAAAUCUCAUCGUGUAGCUCCCAUAAUUCCCACGUGUUGUGGGAGGGACCUGGUGAGAGGUAACCGAAUCAUGGGAACAGGUCUUUCCUAUGCUGUUCUCAUGAUAGUGAGUAAGUCUCACCAGAUCUGAUGGUUUUAAAAAUAGGAGUUUCCCUGCACAAGCUCUCUCUUUGCCUGCUGCCAUCCAUAUAAGACGUGACUUGUUCCUCUUUGCCUUCCACCAUGAUUGUGAGGCCUCCCCAGCCACGUGGAACUGAAAGUCCAUUAAACGUCUUUCUUUUGUAAAUUGCCCAGUCUUGGGUAUGCUUAUGUUUAUCAGCAGCAUGAGAAUGGACUAAUACAGUAAAUUGGUACCAGUAGAGUGGGGCGCUGCUGAAAAGAUACCCAAAAAUGCAGAAGCGACUUUGGAACUGGGUAACAGGCAGAGGUUGGAACAGUUUGGAGGGCUCAGAAGAAGAUGAGAAAAUGUGGGAAAGUUUGGAACUCCCUAGAGACUUGUUGAAUGGCUUUGGCCAAAAUGCUGAUAGCGAUAUGGACAAUAAAGUCCAGGCUGAGGUGGUCUCAGAUGGAAAUGAGGAACUUGUUGGGAACUGGAGUAAAGGUGGCACUUGUUAUGUUUUAGCAAAGAGAUUGGUGGCAUUUUGCCCCUGCCCUAGAGAUUUGUGGAACUUUGAACUUGAGAGAGAUAAUUUAGGGUAUCUGGCAGAAGAAAUUUCUAAGCAGCAAAGCAUUCAAGAGGUGAUGUGUGUGCUGUUAAAGGCAUUCAGUUUUAUAAGGGAAGCAGAGCAUAAAAGUUUGGAAAAUUUGCAGCUUGACAAUGCAAUAGAAAAGAAAAUCCCAUUUUCUGAGGAGAAGUUCAAGCCAGCUGCAGAAAUGUGCAUAAGUAACAAGGAGCCGAAUGUUAAUCCCCAAGACAAUGGAAAAAAUGUCUCCAGGGCAUGUCAGAGACAGCAGCCCCUCCCAUCAUAGGCCUGGAGGCCCAGGAGGAAAAAGUGGUUUUGUGGGUUGAGCCCAGGGUCCCCAUGCUGGGUGCAGUGUAGGGACUUGGUGCCCUGCAUUCCAGACACUCCAGCCAUGGCUGAAAGAGGCUAAUGUAGAGCUCAGGCUAUGGCUUCAGUGGAUACAAGCCUCAAACCUUGGCAGCCUCCAUGUGGUGUUGAACCUGUGAGUACACAGAAGUCAAGAAUUGAGGUUUGAGAACCUCCACUUAGAUGUCGGAGGAUGUAUGGAUAUGCCUGGAUGUCCAGGCAGAAGUUUGCCGCAGGGGCAGGGCUCUCAUGGAAAACUUCUGCUAGGGCAGUGUGGAAGGGAAAUGUGGAGUCAGGGCGCCCACACAGAGUCCCUACUGGGGCACUUCUAGUGGAGCUGUGAGAAGAGGGCCACCCUCCUCCAGACCCCAGAAUGGUAGAUCUACCAGCAGCUUGCACUGUAUGUCUGGAAAAGCCACAGUCACUCAAUGCCAGCCCAUGAAAACAGCCAGGAGGGAGGCUGUACCCUGCAAAGCCACAGGGGUGGAGCUGCCCAAGACCAUAGGAACCCACCUCUUGCAUCAGCAUGACCUGGAUAUGAGACAUGGAGCCAAAGGAGAUCAUUUUGAAGCUUUAGGAUUUGACUGCCCCACUGGAUUUCGGACUUGCAUGGAGCCUGUAACCCCUUUGUUUUGGCCAAUUUCUCCAAUUUGGAAUGGCUGUAUUUACCCAAUGCCUGUACCCCCACUGUAUCUAGGAGGUAGCUAACUUGCUUUUGAUUUUACAUGGUCAUAGGCAGAAGGGACUUGCCCUGUCUCAGAUGAGACUUUAGGCUGUGGACUUUUGAGUUAAUGCUAUAAUGAUUUAAGACUUUGGGGGGCCAGGCAUGGUGGCUCAUACCUGUAAUCCCAGCACUUUGGGAGGCCGAGGCAGGUGGAUCACGUGAGGUCAGGAGUUUGAGACCAGCCUGACCAACAUGGUGAAACCCUGUCUCCACUAAAAAUACAAAAUUAGCCAGGUGUGGUGGCACAUGCCUGUAAUCCCAGCUACUUGGCAGGCUGAGGCAGAAGAAUCACUUGAACUGGGGAGGUGGAGGUUGCAGUGAGUCAAGAUCACACCAUUGCACUCCAGCCUGGGCAACAAGAGUGAAACUCCAUCUCAAAAAAAAGAAAAAAAAAAAGACUUGGGGGACUGUUGAGAAGGCAUGAUGGGUUUUGAAAUGUGAAGGCAUAAGAUUUGGGAGGGGCCAGGGGCAGAAUGAUAUGGUUUGGCUCUGUGUCUCCACCCAAAUCUCAUCUUGUAGCUCCCAUAAUUCCCAUGUGUUGUGGGAGGGACCUGUUGGGAGGUAAUUGAAUCAUGGGAGCAGGUCUUUCCCAUGCUGUUCUUGUGAUAGUGAAUUAGUCUCACGAGAUCUGAUGGUUUUAAAAAUAGGAAUUUCCCUGCACGAGCUCUCUCUUUGCCUGCUGCCGUCCAUGUAAGACAUGAGUUGUUCCUCCUUGCCUUCCACCAUGAUUGUGAGGCCUCCCCAGCCAUGUGGAACUGUAAGUCCAUUAAACCUCUUUCUUUUGUAAAUGGCCCAGUCUCAGGUAUGUCUUUAUCAGCAGCGUGAGAACAGACUAAUACAACCAUAUAGCUAGUAAGUCUGGAGGCAGGGUUUGAACCCAGGAUGCCUGGCUCCAGCAUCCUCUCACCUUACCUCUGCCUGUACUGUCCUGUAGAUCUCAAAUUGUUCAGAGGGAUCCAAAGGUCAUCUAAUUCCCAUUGGCUGACAUUAGCUUUAUUACAUUCAGAUACACACAGUUACUCAAAUCAGGAUACCAAAAAGUGUCAUCUGCGAGGAAAUUCUAGAGGAUUCCUUUUUAAGAGCAAAACUGCUUUAUAUUUGCAUCAGGCUUUCCAGAGCCCAAGGCACAUUCAUAGGCAUUCACAUAGAGAUUAAUCUUCUACACAAUUUAUGCUAGGGAUAGGGAAGAGACCGGUUUUUCUGAUCCACAUUUCAUAGGUAAGAAAAUCAAGGUUGGAAAUGGUAAGUAAUUUGUUCAAGGUUACAAAGCUCAUAAGCAGUGCCAGCUAUGAAAGAAAGCCAGGCCUGCUGGCCCUAGGCAGCGCCCUGCUCCAGGCACCCACAAUACUCCCUCUAACUAGUCCUACAGGUAAAGUGCACCUAAGUAGAGACUUCUGAAGAACUCACAUGCUCAAGGCUCACUCCGUGUUUGCCCAUCAGGAUUUAAGAUGCUCUUGCUGCAAAUCCACCCCCUGGUUAAAGUCAGUAAAAUUUCAUGGGUGAGCUGAUCUUUUCAUAGGGUUCAUGCUGAUGAGAUUUUUUUUUCUAAAAUCUCUUCUUAG